This 638-nucleotide long non-coding RNA is filed under the name Malus domestica (apple). Its description in RNAcentral is "long non-coding RNA (MDOM_LNC017447)". The record is from RNAcentral. Lineage: Eukaryota; Viridiplantae; Streptophyta; Magnoliopsida; Rosales; Rosaceae.
UUUACUUCUCUCUCUAACCUUCACUUUGCAAAACUCUCUUAUUUCCACCAAGAAACCAUCAUCCACAACCAUCAUUUUCCUGGCCAGAUUUAAAUCGGAACCACCAAAAUCAGUUUUUGGGUGGCUUGAUGAUCAUGUUAUGUGCUUGCAUGGAAGAUCCGAAGCUGCGACAGUAGUAAACUCUCGAGCCCGAGAACCCUAGGCCAACUCAUUGGAUUUUGGUGAGUCGUUCGUCCAAAUUUGUACCAAUUUGUAUAUGGUUGAGUUAUGUAGUGAUGUAUGUUGGGAUUUGGGAUGAAAUUUGAGGGUUUUAACCCUUAUUUCAUCACUAUCAAUUUCUCCAGAAUUUGGCUGGGAGACUCGUCCAAAUUAUGGCGAAUCAGAGACGGAUUUAAACCCCAUUAUAGAAAUUAUGAGCUUGUUGGUAAGUUUCUAGACUCUUACAUGAAUUUUGAGUGAAAUUUAAGUGGGAAUCGAGAUUCUUAACCUCUGAAUGCCUACGAGCAUUUAUCCAGAAAGUGGUCAUGGACUCCGGUUGAGUUUCGUCAAGUCUGAAGCCAAUUUCAGCCCAAAUCUUCUUGGAUUGAACGUAAUAGAAUAUUUCCAUCAUUUUUGGAGGGUUUUGAUUUAAUUUGGUG